RNAcentral lists this ribosomal RNA (448 nucleotides) under uncultured bacterium. RNAcentral describes it as "bacterial SSU rRNA". It matches the Rfam family "Bacterial small subunit ribosomal RNA", at positions 330 to 792 of the family's 1533-position model. The record is from RNAcentral.
GCCAGACUCCUACGGGAGGCAGCAGUGGGGAAUAUUGGGCAAUGGGCGCAAGCCUGACCCAGCAACGCCGCGUGAAGGAAGAAGGCUUUCGGGUUGUAAACUUCUUUUCUCAGGGACGAAGAAAGUGACGGUACCUGAGGAAUAAGCCACGGCUAACUACGUGCCAGCAGCCGCGGUAAUACGUAGGUGGCAAGCGUUAUCCGGAUUUACUGGGUGUAAAGGGCGUGUAGGCGGGAAAGCAAGUCAGAUGUGAAAACCAUGGGCUCAACCUGUGGCCUGCAUUUGAAACUGUUUUUCUUGAGUACUGGAGAGGCAGACGGAAUUCCUAGUGUAGCGGUGAAAUGCGUAGAUAUUAGGAGGAACACCAGUGGCGAAGGCGGUCUGCCGGACAGCAACUGACGCUGAGGCGCGAAAGCGUGGGGAGCAAACAGGAUUAGAUACCCGCGUA